This 794-nucleotide ribosomal RNA is filed under the name Cychramus luteus. RNAcentral describes it as "partial 16S ribosomal RNA". The stretch from base 1 to 583 matches the Rfam family "Bacterial large subunit ribosomal RNA", at positions 1819 to 2925 of the family's 2925-position model. The record is from RNAcentral. Lineage: Eukaryota; Metazoa; Arthropoda; Insecta; Coleoptera; Nitidulidae.
GUCCUUUUGAGUUUUAUAUAAGGUCUAACCUGCCCAAUGAUUAAUUUUAAAUGGCCGCGGUAUUCUGACCGUGCAAAGGUAGCAUAAUAAUUAGUUUUUUAAUUGAAAGCUGGAAUGAAAGGUUGGAUAAGGAAAUUACUGUCUCUUAAAAAUUUUAUUAGAACUUUAUUUUUAAGUAAAAAAGCUUAAAUUUAAUUUAAAGACGAGAAGACCCUUUAGAGUUUUAUAUAAUAAAUUAUAUUUUAUUAUUUAGUAUUUAUUAAGUAAAAAAUAAUUUUUGUAUUUGAUUGGGGUGAUUGAAAAAUUUAAAAAACUUUUUUUUUUAUUUUACAUUGAUUUAUGAAUAUUUGAUCCAAUUAUUUUGAUUACAAGAAUAAAUUACCUAAGGGAUAACAGCGUUAUUUUUUUUGAGAGUUCAUAUCGAAAAAAAAGAUUGCGACCUCGAUGUUGGAUUAAAAUUAAAUUAUGGUGCAGAAGCUAUAACUUUAGGUCUGUUCGACCUUUAAAAUUUUACAUGAUCUGAGUUUAAACCGGCGUGAGCCAGGUUGGUUUCUAUCUUAAAUUUAUAUUAAUAUUUUAGUACGAAAGGACCAAAUAUUAGAUUUAAAAUUUAUUUUUUGAAUAUGAUUAAUUAUUUUGGCAGAUUAGUGCAAUAGAUUUAGAAUCUUUUUAUGUAAUUUUUAUUACAAAUAAUACUUGUUAUUAAAAGAUUUGAUUUUGUCAUUAAUUUCUAGAGUAAUUUUAUUAGUUUGUGUAUUAGUAGGAGUGGCUUUUUUAACUUUAUUAGAACGUAA